This 237-nucleotide ribosomal RNA is filed under the name uncultured Lactobacillus sp. Its description in RNAcentral is "partial 16S ribosomal RNA". It matches the Rfam family "Bacterial small subunit ribosomal RNA", at positions 125 to 354 of the family's 1533-position model. Lineage: Bacteria; Bacillati; Bacillota; Bacilli; Lactobacillales; Lactobacillaceae. The record is from RNAcentral.
CCUGCCCAAGAGAUCGGGAUAACACCUGGAAACAGAUGCUAAUACCGGAUAACAACAGAUGAUGCCUAUCAACUGUUUAAAAGAUGGUUCUGCUAUCACUCUUGGAUGGACCUGCGGUGCAUUAGCUAGUUGGUAGGGUAACGGCCUACCAAGGCGAUGAUGCAUAGCCGAGUUGAGAGACUGAUCGGCCACACUGGGACUGAGACACGGCCCAAACUCCUACGGGAGGCAGCAGAG